Molecule: non-coding RNA, 240 nt
Organism: Pelobates cultripes (western spadefoot toad)
Lineage: Eukaryota; Metazoa; Chordata; Amphibia; Anura; Pelobatidae
Source: the annotation of a GenBank genome assembly
UGGUGGUCUUAUGGAGUUCUCAUGUUUGAGAUGCUGACUGGUUCCCUCCCAUUUCAAGGAAAAGACAGCAAGGAAACAAUGAUGCUAAUAUUAAAAGCCAAACUCGGGAUGCUUCAGUUUCCCAGCAAUGAGGCACAGGCAUUACUAUGUGCUCUUAGGAUCAGACGUAGAUGGUGCAGAAGAAAUUAAACGCCAUCCCUUCUUUUCAACAAUUGAUUGGAAUAGACUGUAUCGUAGGGA